CGUACAGUAAACAAUGUUCGCAAUUUUCUCGCCAGCUAUGAAAUUCGCGCAGUAAUUAGAUUUUCGUGUGCAAAGCUAGUGUUGUUGCAAAAUUAGUACUGUAAUGAGUGAAGCAAAAGUUUGACAUUGGAGCCGUGAUCUCAAUAUCAGAAUGUUCAUGACCAAGAGCGAAGUUGUAGAACCAGUAAGCUAACCGAUGAAAUUGUGUCUCUGGUGGACUAAAAUCUGCGAACUGAUCGUGGGAUGACAAUUAGUACUCUGGCUGAUGAGCUUGCUCUCCUUGGUCACACUACUGGUUUCACAAUUGUUUCAGAAAAAACAUGGGUUGGCAGUGAGUUCCGGUACAGAGGGGUUAAAACAAAUCAUCCCUCGCUUUUCGAAUAUGUCUCGUAUUUACACACUGAUAAAUAAAAAAUAAAGCACUGAUAAAUAAAAAUAAAAGCACUCCCUUAACUGCAAAAUGAACAAAACAAACAAACUGGUAACUAGUUCCACCAAAAUUCGAGAGAGAAGUAUAUUAUGAUGAAACGGAUUGCAGAUAUUGGGGUAAAAAUAAUCAUGGAAGCGUUUCGUGCGGCCAGUGCACGUUAUUCUGUUCGAUUCUCUAGACUUGUUUUUCAUAGGGAAACUGAACCGUUCAAUUACACAAUAAUACAUUUUUCUUUGUUAUUAUUUUUACUUCUCCGCAAUUCUCUGCAAAAAAACAUGCUUUGGAGGAGGGACCAUAACUCUAACGAAAAAUAUUUUCUUUUUAAUCAACUUGCUUGUUUUUCUGCGAUAGU
Long non-coding RNA from Malaya genurostris, 782 nucleotides. RefSeq lists it as uncharacterized. Lineage: Eukaryota; Metazoa; Arthropoda; Insecta; Diptera; Culicidae. The transcript is spliced from 3 exons. The record is from RefSeq and is a predicted model, not a curated record.